This 433-nucleotide ribosomal RNA is filed under the name uncultured bacterium. RNAcentral describes it as "partial 16S ribosomal RNA". It matches the Rfam family "Bacterial small subunit ribosomal RNA", at positions 29 to 507 of the family's 1533-position model. The record is from RNAcentral.
AGCGAACGCUGGCGGCAGGCCUAACACAUGCAAGUCGAACGAACUCUUCGGAGUUAGUGGCGGAUGGGUGAGUAGCAUGUGGGAACGUGCCUUUUGAUUCGGAAUAACUCAGGGAAACUUGUGCUAAUACCGAAUGUGCUACUCGGGGGAAAGAUUGAUCGCAAUUGGAGCGGCCCGCGACCGAUUAGCUGGUUGGUGAGGUAACGGCGCACCACGGCGUCGAUCAGUAGCUGGUCUGAGAGGAUGACCAGCGACACUGGGACUAGGACACGGCCCAGACUCCUACGGGAUGCAGCAGUGGGGAAUCUAGCGCAAUCGGGUGAGUCCUGACGGAGCCAUGCCGGGUGAGUGAUGAAGGUCUUAGGAUAGUAAAGUUCUUUCACCGGGGACGGUAAUGACGGUACCCGGAGAAGAAGCCCCGGCUAACUUCGUG